Myripristis murdjan (pinecone soldierfish) is the source of this 399-nucleotide long non-coding RNA. RefSeq lists it as uncharacterized. The record is from RefSeq and is a predicted model, not a curated record. Lineage: Eukaryota; Metazoa; Chordata; Actinopteri; Holocentriformes; Holocentridae. The transcript is spliced from 2 exons.
CACAGUUUGAGAUGGAGCUUACAUUCAUACUCCCACAUAACACACAUAACAUCACCUUUUGGCACUUUUCAGGACAAAAAAAAAGGUAAAGGUAAAAGUAAAGAGUAACUGAAAGAUGUCACAUUCACUGUCGCUGGAGGUGAUGGAGAUGGCCGAGGCGGCGGCUUUGCUGGACAGGCUGGCCUCCGGACUGGAGGAGUUCCCCAGACGAUCCACCGUCCCGUCCUCGUCCGCUAGGGAGCGAACCGAGCCCCCGGACAGGACCUGCUGCUGGAGCCUGGACACAAAACACGAGAACAGGGGGUUAUAAUCACAUGAAGGGUGCAGGGUGCGCCCCUUCCUUUCAGUUUCACUCACACGUCAAAACCCUUCGCUUCAAAUAAACCAUUUUUGUUUGUU